Molecule: long non-coding RNA, 386 nt
Organism: Brienomyrus brachyistius
Lineage: Eukaryota; Metazoa; Chordata; Actinopteri; Osteoglossiformes; Mormyridae
Exons: 2
Source: RefSeq, a predicted model, not a curated record
AAAAAGAGAAAUAAAAAAAGCGGCUCUGACUCCAGCUCACAGGCUGGACGAACGAAAUGGCUCUCGGAGCCGGCUCUUUGAAGUGAACGAUCGGAGCGAUGUGUUCGCGACCGACACAUCACUACACAGGGGACAGUUUAGAGAGAAGCACGGGAAGGGAGGUUGGAGCGCGGCUGGGAAAGUUACCCGCUCCCGCUCCUGACCCGAUUUCCCCACCGAGACCGGCACGUCCUGUUCCCACCCCCUGUGUGGUCUCGUCUUGUACUUACUCGUAGGACUGACUUCCCAGAUUCCUACCUCCCUGCCCGUCAAAUGACCACGACUUUUGCCUGCCCCUAUCUGUACCUCUUCCCCGAUUACGCCAAUAAACAAGGUGUGGGAUUGCA